UGUAAUUUAGUUUAAGUAGAAUAUUUAUUUUUGGUGUAAAAGGUUAUAAUUACAA
Molecule: transfer RNA, 55 nt
Filed under: Uncinaria sanguinis
Lineage: Eukaryota; Metazoa; Nematoda; Chromadorea; Rhabditida; Ancylostomatidae
Description: tRNA-Gln
Source: RNAcentral